UCUAUAUAGAUUUAGUUAAAUCAGUACACGCUUACAUUUUGGCUUAAAUCACUGUAACAAUUGUAUUGUAAUUAUGGCUUUUUACGCUUAUAAAAAUGCUAUAGUCAACACAGUUGGACUGUUCAAACGAGUCUAGAAGCGGAACAGUUUUCAGCAAAGCUCAGCGUGCCGCCCGAACGCUAAUGUGUGAUGGACCGGGAAGAAAUGGUGUGAAAGUGGAGUCCAUCAUCUGAUAAGUAAUGUAUUAUUGAUGUCUGGAACAUCAUCGUGAGAGAAAAUGUGUCAGUAUGACUGAAGACAGUGUGAAAUUGCCAGAUGUACUGGAAUAGAAACCUAUUAUAGAGUCCAAAGGAUACUAAUCUGGACGGCUUUGUUUACUUUGAACAUGAGCAUUUGAACAUGAGCAAUCUCUGCUGUUUCUUUCUGAAUUCUUUAGCUUAAGCUUAGAUGUGAAGAGGACCUAGCGAAAACAGAUUGCAUCUGAUCUUAACAGAAUAAAGACAUGAAGAACUUUUCAAUUUCUCACAAAACAGUGUUUGUUGUGGACCAUUGUCCCUACAUGUCAGAAUCCUGCAGGCAACAAGUGGAGUUUGAUAUGCUAAAUAAAAAUCGAGCUCAAGGCAUCAUUCCACUGGCCCCCAUCUCAAAAUCUCUGUGGACAUGUGCUGUUGAAUGUUCAAUGGAAUAUUGCAGAAUAUUAUAUGAUAUAUACCCAGCCAAGAAGCUGGUUUGUUACAUUGUAAGCGACUCUGAGUUUCACAUUUUAAAUAGCUGGAACCAAGAAGAUCAAAAUGUUCAAGAGCUGAUGUCUGCUCUUGCAGCUGUUGGUCCCCCUAACCCUCGUGAAGACCCUGAGUGUUGUAGCAUAUUACAUGGAUUAGUGGCUGCAGUAGAGACUCUGUGCAAAGUUACAGAAUACCAACAAGAAGCUCGCAUCUCAAUGAUGGAUAAUGUAGAGCGUGUAAGCAACAGAGGCCGUAUUAUCUGCAUCACAAAUGCAAAGAGUGACACACAUGUGCGAAUGUUGGAGGACUGUGUUCAAGAAGCAAUUCAAGACCACAAUAAACUUGCUGCUGGGUCAGAUCGACUUAUGCAGAUUCAGCAGUGUGAACUGGUUCUUAUUCACACACAUCCAUUUGGAGAUGACACUCUUGUAUCUGACCGGCCAAGGAGAGAGAUUUCUCCUGUCCUAACCAGUGAAGUACAUAGUGUUCGUGCAGGAAGGCACCUUGCAGCAAAGCUAAACAUUUUAGUUCAGCAGCACUUUGACUUGGCUUCCACUACCAUCACAAAUAUCCCCAUGAAGGAAGAACAGCAUGCAAAUACAUCAGCUAAUUAUGAUGUGGAGUUAUUUCAUCAUAAAGAUGCUCAUUUAGAAUUCAUCAAAAGUGGUGAUUUGCAUCCUCCAGGUAGCAACAGCAGGGACAGCAAUCUUAAAGAAACUGUCACUUUGAAGUGGUGUACUCCACGAACUAAUAGUGUUGAACUUCAUUUCUGCACAGGAGCUUUUCGUAUAUCUCCUGUUGAUGUCAACAGCCGACCCUCGUCUUGCCUGACAAAUUUUCUUCUUAAUGGGCGCUCUGUACUUCUGGAACAGCCUCGAAAGUCCGGUUCCAAAGUCAUCAGUCAUAUGCUCAGUAGUCAUGGAGGAGAGAUCUUUCUUCAUGUUCUCAGCAGCACACGCUCUAUUUUAGAAGAUCCACCUUCUAUCAGUGAAGGCUGUGGUGGCAGAGUAACAGACUACAGAAUUACUGAUUUUGGAGAGUUUAUGAGAGAAAAUCGUUUAACACCUUUCCCAGAGUUUAAUAUGAUGGAAAGUAACGAGGUUCCUUUGGAGAGAGCGAAGGCUCAACUUGAACGACACACUCGCUACUGGCCCAUGAUUAUUUCCCAAACAACAAUUUUUAACAUGCAGGCGGUGGUUCCUUUAGCCAGCUUAAUUGUAAAAGAAAGCCUAACAGAAGAUGAUGUGCUAACGUGUCAAAAGACUGUUUAUAAUUUAGUUGACAUGGAAAGAAAAAAUGACCCCCUUCCAAUCUCCACAGUAGGCACAAGAGGAAAAGGUCCCAAAAGAGAUGAACAAUACAGGAUUAUGUGGAAUGAAUUGGAAACUCUGGUCAAGGCACACAAUAAGACCUCAGAAAGACACCAACAUGUCUUGGAGUGCAUCCAGGCCUGUCGGAGCAAACCUCCUGAAGAAGAAGAGCGUAAAAAGAGAGGCAGAAAGAGAGAGGAGAAAGAAGACAAAACUGAAAAGAAUGGCAAGGAUGUUGAACCAGAGAAAACUUGGCAGGAGUCGGAAAGAUUAAAAGGAAUUUUAGAUCGAGAGAAAGAAGAAUUGGCUGAAGCUGAAAUCAUAAAAGAUUCUCCAGACUCUCCAGAGCCUUUAAAUAAAAAGCCCAGGUUAGCAAUGGAGGAAAUACAUCCUGUGGACAAAGCAAAGGGCCCAGUAUCAUUAUUGACAUUAUGGACCAACAGGAUAAAUGCUGCUAAUUCAAAAAAACACCAAGAAUUUGUUGGACGCAUGAAUUCAGUAAACGACAAGGCUGAAUUAUACCAACAUCUUAAAGAAGAAAAUGGGGUGGAUGCAGUUGAAAAUGGAAAAUCCAGCCGAUAAUGAAGAUUAACUGAUGAGCCCAUCAUGUUUUACUUGAAGCAGUCCAGGCAAAUUCAUACAGUAGUCAGGACAAGUUCCUAUUGCAGGCUUAGAGAGAAGCAAAUCUGCUGGAGAGACAGAUCCAUUUAGUGUGAGACAUUUCCUUGACGUCUCCAGUUUAUGAUGUAAGGCUAGAUGUUUCAAAAAUAUUUUUAUAUUAGAAAAGAAUAAAAGCAAGCAGGUUAAUAAUUUGAAAGGUACUGUAAAUACUAAGAUGGUGUUCCAGCUACAGUACUUUAUGACCAAUGAACCAUCCAUCCAUCCAUCCUCUUCCGCUUAUCUGGGGUCGGGUCGCGGGGGCAGCAGCUUAAGCAGAGAGG
Molecule: RNA transcript, 2976 nt
Organism: Polypterus senegalus (gray bichir)
Lineage: Eukaryota; Metazoa; Chordata; Cladistia; Polypteriformes; Polypteridae
Gene: ints13
Gene name: integrator complex subunit 13
Exons: 18
Source: RefSeq, a predicted model, not a curated record